This 499-nucleotide long non-coding RNA is filed under the name Panicum hallii. RNAcentral describes it as "long non-coding RNA (PHAL_LNC000564)". Lineage: Eukaryota; Viridiplantae; Streptophyta; Magnoliopsida; Poales; Poaceae. The record is from RNAcentral.
CGCUCUACUGGAAACUAUCCUAUAUCAGAAGGUCUCGUAAUCAACUGGAUUUUUUUUUUACUUGAUCAAUCGGAAGGCGGAGGUAAACUCCCCAACUCGAUCAAUGGGUGCUCAUUGGUCUUCUUGAAACUCCCCAACUGCCGUAGCUGCUGAUUAUGCGACAGCUGAUAUUGCGAUAACCGAUUCUUUCUAACUAAAGAUUCUUCCACUUCACUUUCUAAGAGGGCAUUCGAUGCAUCAAUCCCCUCCCGCCUUGACUAUUGGGUUGGAUACCCUAUUAAGUCAUGGCAUCUGUCAGUUCCUUGUCUUCAUCCCAUCGAGAAAGACUAAUGCAAAAGGUGAAUUGAAUUCCGGAUCUUUCUUCGUGCACGAAAUCGAGAAAAGUGCUUUCUUUCACAACCUACUGUAACUGAAGCCCGGUGUGCCGCUGGACUCAUGUAGGACGAGAAAUCUGAGGUAGAUAAGGCUUAUGCAAUAGUCUUGCUUACUCUGCUGAACC